Molecule: ribosomal RNA, 497 nt
Filed under: uncultured bacterium
Lineage: Bacteria
Description: partial 16S ribosomal RNA
Rfam family: Bacterial small subunit ribosomal RNA
Source: RNAcentral
GAUGAGCGCUGGCGGCGUGCCUAAUACAUGCAAGUCGAGCGAACAGACGAGGAGCUUGCUCCUCUGACGUUAGCGGCGGACGGGUAAGUAACACGUGGAUAACCUACCUAUAAGACUGGGAUAACUUCGGGAAACCGGAGCUAAUACCGGAUAAUAUAUUGAACCGCAUGGUUCAAUAGUGAAAGACGGUUUUGCUGUCACUUAUAGAUGGAUCCGCGCCGCAUUAGCUAGUUGGUAAGGUAACGGCUUACCAAGGCAACGAUGCGUAGCCGACCUGAGAGGGUGAUCGGCCACACUGGAACUGAGACACGGUCCAGACUCCUACGGGAGGCAGCAGUAGGGAAUCUUCCGCAAUGGGCGAAAGCCUGACGGAGCAACGCCGCGUGAGUGAUGAAGGUCUUCGGAUCGUAAAACUCUGUUAUUAGGGAAGAACAAAUGUGUAAGUAACUAUGCACGUCUUGACGGUACCUAAUCAGAAAGCCACGGCUAACUACGUG